Molecule: non-coding RNA, 363 nt
Organism: Heterocephalus glaber (naked mole-rat)
Lineage: Eukaryota; Metazoa; Chordata; Mammalia; Rodentia; Bathyergidae
Source: RefSeq, a predicted model, not a curated record
CCUCCUCUGUCCCCUUGCUCAGUGAUGUACUUGGUUACCUUGUCUUGUUUUUUCAGAUGUUCCAUUGGGUUCUUCCUGGACCACUGGCUGACAGCUCCUUUGUGUCUUUUGCUGCAAGCUGGAGCCCAGUGCUACUCCAAGGGUGGUCUGCAGGGGCCUGGAUGCAGCUUCACCUGGAACCUGGGUCUGGAAGAAUCUAAGAGCUGGCACACUGUUGGCCUCCUGCUGAUCAUGGAGGAUUGGGACUUCCUUGGCCAGAGCAUUAAAUUCAGAUGACACAUAACUCUUGCCGGAGGCUGGAUGUCCAACAUAAACGUGCCCACAGAUUCCAUGACUUGGGAAGGCCCGUUUCCUAGUUCAUAG